This 1126-nucleotide ribosomal RNA is filed under the name uncultured Marinomonas sp. RNAcentral describes it as "bacterial SSU rRNA". It matches the Rfam family "Bacterial small subunit ribosomal RNA", at positions 47 to 1156 of the family's 1533-position model. The record is from RNAcentral. Lineage: Bacteria; Pseudomonadati; Pseudomonadota; Gammaproteobacteria; Oceanospirillales; Oceanospirillaceae.
UCCGCUUCCAUGCAGUCGACGGUACGGGGCUGCUCCUGCUGAAGGGGGCGGGUGAGUAACGCGUAGGAAUCUGCCUAGUAGAGGGGGACAACAUGUGGAAACGCAUGCUAAUACCGCAUACGCCCUGAAGGGGAAAGGAGGGGACUUUUCGGAGCCUUCCGCUAUUAGAUGAGCCUGCUGAGAUUAGCUAGUUGGUAGGGUAAAGGCCUACCAAGGCGACGAUCUCUAACUGGUCUGAGAGGAUGACCAGUCACACUGGGACUGAGACACGGCCCAACUCCUACGGGAGGCAGCAGUGGGGAAUAUUGGACAUGGGCGGAAGCCUGAUCCAGCCAUGCCGCGUGUGUGAAGAAGGCCUUAGGGUUGUAAAGCACUUUCAGGGGUGAGGAAGGGUGAUUGGUUAAUACCCAAUUAUCUUGACGUUAGCCCCAGAAGAAGCACCGGCUAACUCUGUGCCAGCAGCCGCGGUAAUACAGAGGGUGCAAGCGUUAAUCGGAAUUACUGGGCGUAAAGCGUGCGUAGGUGGUUUGUUAAGUCGGAUGUGAAAUCCCAGGGCUCAACCUUGGAAUGGCACCCGAUACUGGCAGGCUAGAGUACGGUAGAGGGGUGUGGAAUUUCCUGUGUAGCGGUGAAAUGCGUAGAUAUAGGAAGGAACAUCAGUGGCGAAGGCGACACCCUGGACUGAUACUGACACUGAGGUGCGAAAGCGUGGGGAGCAAACAGGAUUAGAUACCCUGUAGUCCACGCCGUAAACGAUGUCUACUAGCCGUUGGGUUGUAAUGACUUAGUGGCGCAGCUAACGCAUAAGUAGACCGCCUGAGGAGUACGGCCGCAAGGUUAAAACUCAUGAUUGACGGGGGCCCGCACAAGCGGUGGAGCAUGUGGUUUAAUUCGAAGCAACGCGAAGAACCUUACCUACUCUUGACAUCCAGUGAACUUACAGAGAUGCUUUGGUGCCUUCGGGAACACUGAGACAGUGCUGCAUGGCUGUCGUCAGCUCUGUUGAAAUGUUGGGAAGUCCCGUAACGAGCGCCUUAUCCUAUUUGCCGCCUUCGGUUGGACUGGCGACAACGAGAAGGGGGAGUCAUGGUUACAAGAAUAAGCUAUUACUAUACACACUACUCGU